Molecule: ribosomal RNA, 491 nt
Filed under: uncultured bacterium
Lineage: Bacteria
Description: partial 16S ribosomal RNA
Rfam family: Bacterial small subunit ribosomal RNA
Source: RNAcentral
GAUGAACGCUAGCUACAGGCUUAACACAUGCAAGUCGAGGGGAAACGACAUUGAAGCUUGCUUCGAUGGUCGUCGACCGGCGCACGGGUGAGUAACGCGUAUCCAACCUGCCUCUGACCAAGGGAUAACCCGUCGAAAGUCGGCCUAAUACCUUAUGCAGUCGUCGGAAGUCAUCUGAUGACGACGAAAGAUUUCAUCGGUGAGAGAUGGGGAUGCGUCUGAUUAGCUUGUUGGCGGGGUAACGGCCCACCAAGGCAACGAUCAGUAGGGGUUCUGAGAGGAAGGUCCCCCACAUUGGAACUGAGACACGGUCCAAACUCCUACGGGAGGCAGCAGUGAGGAAUAUUGGUCAAUGGGCGAGAGCCUGAACCAGCCAAGUAGCGUGCAGGAUGACGGCCCUAUGGGUGGUAAACUGCUUUUAGGCGGGGAUAAAGUGAGGGACGUGUCCUUCAUUGCAGGUACCGCAUGAAUAAGGACCGGCUAAUUCCGUG